AGAGAGAGACAUGCGCGCAUAUCAAUAAGCGGAGGAAAAGAAACUAACAAGGAUUCCCUUAGUAACGGCGAGUGAAGCGGGAAGAGCUCAAAUUUGAAAUCUUCAAGGUUUUACCUCGACGAAUUGUAGUUUAAAGAAGUGUUUUCUGCUGAAGUUUUGGUAAAAGUUCUUUGGAAUAGGACAUCAUAGAGGGUGAGAAUCCCGUAUUUGACCAUUAUUUUCAGCUUUGUGAUACACUUUCAAAGAGUCGGAUUGUUUGGGAAUGCAGUCCAAAAUGGGUGGUAAAUUUCAUCUAAAGCUAAAUAUUGGCGAGAGACCGAUAGCGAACAAGUACCGUGAGGGAAAGAUGAAAAGAACUUUGAAAAGAGAGUUAAACAGUACGUGAAAUUGUCAAAAGGGAAGCGUUUGACACCAGUGUUGUUUUCUCGAAAAUCAAUUAAAAAUGGCUCGAUUUUGUAUUGUUGAGACCUUAAAAGCUCACUGUACAUUUUUCGUGUCUUUUUUAAUGCACUUUUCGUUUAACAAGUCAACAUCAGUUUCUUUUGUUGUAAAAGGGUCAUAGGAAGGUGGCUUUCUUUUCGGAGAAAGUGUUUAUAGCCUUUGGCCUCUGCAAUCGGAAGAGACUGAGGUCUGCAGCGUAGACUCUUCGGGGUUAGAUACAUUUGUGCUAAGUUAUAGCUUUUUAUAGACAACUUGUUGACUAUAAUUAGUCUUGUAGCUUACUCGCUUAUGCUAUUUUACCUACGCUUAGGAUGUUGAAGUCAUCGUAUCGCGC
This 775-nucleotide ribosomal RNA is filed under the name uncultured Neocallimastigales. Its description in RNAcentral is "partial large subunit ribosomal RNA". It matches the Rfam family "Eukaryotic large subunit ribosomal RNA", at positions 23 to 645 of the family's 3401-position model. The record is from RNAcentral. Lineage: Eukaryota; Fungi; Neocallimastigomycota; Neocallimastigomycetes; Neocallimastigales.